RNAcentral lists this long non-coding RNA (2352 nucleotides) under Strigops habroptila (Kakapo). RNAcentral describes it as "lncRNA (ENSSHBG00005013156.1)". Lineage: Eukaryota; Metazoa; Chordata; Aves; Psittaciformes; Psittacidae. The record is from RNAcentral.
GGCAGUUAAUAUUUUAAUCUGUACAUAUACCAUUUUCCACACUGUUACAUUUUAUUUAAAUUAAUGUUUUCUUGCAAAAUACUCAUUUAUGCUUUCAAAACUUUUUAUAAAGGCAAAAAUAAAUCAUUAUUUUGGCAAAAGGUUUUGAAGUUGAUACUGGCAGUAUUGAGGUAAAGUAGAUUGCAUUAGCUAAAUACAUACUUUUAAGAAUAUUUCUGAGUAUAGUGUUAAUAUAAUAUGAUUUGUCUUGAAGUCUGAAACUUAAAGGUCAAUCAUUUUCAAGGGUUUUAUAGCUAUUACUUGGAUACAACAAAUAAACAAGUUAGUGGUUUCACAAAACACUGCAGAAGUAUUUCUCAGUAAUUUCUCAUCCAGAGCUGAACUCAACCAAUAAUUGCUUAAUAUUGAGAAAUUUUUGCAUGUCUUGCCUUCAAUGCAUACACAAGUUUCAAGUAACAUAGUUGCAGCAAUUCAUUCAAUCUUAUUUUCUCCUUCGGUAACUGCCUGACCCUUUGCCCUGUACAUAAGUAAAACACUGAAUUUCAAAGUUUGGCAAAGUUGAGCAACAGGUGACCAUACAUACGAAAUUAGUUUUGCUGUUUCCAGGAUAAAUACUAGUCAAUACAUCAUACUGUGAUGUUUAUUGAAAAAAUUCCAAAAGAAAAAUACAUAUUUACUGGUGAAAUGACAAAUGCUAUUAUUGUUUUUUCAUUUCUUCACAUAUUUUAAUUAAAAGUUUUCUUCUUUUAUAUCUUUCCAAAGAAAGUAAAAUUUGCCAGCUGUUUGUUUCUGAGGGUUCCCAAGCAGACUGUGUAGUGAUACCACCAAGUUAAUCAUAUGGGAUCAAAAAAGGAAAUGGGACUUAAAACUGGCUUCAAUUACAGCUUUUGUGGGAAACUUCAGCUGUACAGUGGUUACCGAUGUUUAGAAAUUCAAGCUAAAAGUUCUUGCAAUGUAUUAUUUAAUGGGCAAAAGGGUGGGUGCUUAACUCUACAAAAAUACUCAAUCCAAAACACCCUUUUAGCAAAUCUGUCCCUUGCAUUAGCUCCACCCAUAACCUACGAAUGUGCUUCUAGGUUGUUCAACUUUUCUUUUUUUUUUUUUUCAUGAAACUUUACAUUGUGCAUCUGAGCCUGAGGGGGAAGUAACAGCAUCUUUUAACAUCUAUGCAAGUAGUUUCUCCUAAAAUGAAUUCAGCCCUUGAUUUAAAAAAAAAAAAAAAAAUCUAAAAUACAUUGUUCUAAAAAUACAUUGUCAGUAUUUUACAGUUUAAUAAAAGUGCCAUUUAUUCAUAUAAAAAGUCUGAACUAAACAGAAGUAAAAAUAAAAUGAUUUUCAAAUCUCUUCAUUUUCAUAGAAAAUCCCCCUAUUAUUCUCUGAGUGUAUUUCCAGAAGAACAUAUCAUCAGCCGAUGAGCAUCUUCAAAGAAAGCUGGUAAAGAAUCUCUUCUUCCUUCCACAUGGUGUAACUAGGAGGGAUUUGCUUUGAGUCUUACAUCAAGUGUUCACUCACUGCUUUGGCUAGCAUGAAGUAAAAUAAAACAUGGUUAAAUAUCCAAGUGAGCACACUAAGCCAAGCAGUAAGCAAUUGCAGGAAACAUUUCUUUAUUAAACCUUCUGCAAUUUGACAGAAGGAACAAGUCCUAUGGACAUGUGAAUGAUUAUCUUAUGAUGCAACCGAUGCUCAAACUCCUGUGACCCCCGCAUGUUGCUGGUUAUUGCAUUUAUUUUCUUCAUAAUUUUCCUGAAGAAAAUGUAGGGUUUCAUAUAUAUACGUAAACAUGUAGCUAUACAUACACAUGUAUGUAUAUUUAUAUAGACAUGUGAUACACAUGUUUUAAAGUCAGUCUGGAACCACAGAAUGGUUGGGGUAGGAAGGGACCUCUGGAGGUCAUCUGGUCCAAGCCCCUUCUCAUGUCUAAUACCCUGGGACCAUAUGGUUAUUUUUCUGGGUUCUUGAGGCCACACGUGGGUACCCUAUUCACAGGCAAAGAUCUCACGUGAUAGUGACAAUCAACUAGCAUAUCCCUGGAUAUGAGUCGAGUGUUAUUCAGACCCAACAAAAAUGGUAGAAUCUGGUUUUCUGAAAGACAAACUGAACCAGAAAAGCAAAUGUCUAUUUCCAUCAUGCUCUGUAGAGGCUCCUAAUGUCUAUACACAUCUAUUGAUGUAAAUUUAUCUUUUUUCACAGGCCCUGUAGAAGGCAGGUCACUGCCUGUUUGGGUCUUUCUUGUAUGUGCUCAGUUUUAUCUAGAUUUUUAUUUUUUGCACAGAUAUUUGACUCAGACCAGUGACAAUGAAAACAAAGGUAUCUAAAGGUUAAUGCUAUUUGAGUUAUUCACUCAAUCAACCC